Molecule: long non-coding RNA, 1244 nt
Organism: Brassica napus (rape)
Lineage: Eukaryota; Viridiplantae; Streptophyta; Magnoliopsida; Brassicales; Brassicaceae
Exons: 4
Source: RefSeq, a predicted model, not a curated record
AUUUAACUUAAAUAGCGGCCCAUUCUGGAGAACAUAUUUGACCCAUAAUUUAAAUUAGAAAGAAGCCCCUUCUGAAAAAUCUAAUUGACGUUACAAGUGACUCCGCAUAUCCGUUCGACGGCUCUUCUUCCUCCGACUUUACUUGAUGGCAGUAACUCACCUAUGUAAUACCUGCCAAUCUAUUAUCCCUACUAUGUUAUUGAAUGGCGAUUCUUUGGUUUCUCUGUGAAAUGUAGCUAUUGCAUAUAUAUUGUCGUCAUGCGUCAGAGAGAGCUCAUAGUUUCUUUUAUCCUCUAUUGCACGAUACCUUACCAAACCGACGCUUACAACAAUUUCCAAAAUCUACCUUUCCGAUCCGAAGGCUGGCCCGUUGAUUCCCGUUUUAGUUUAAUAAAUAUCAGACAGCCUUUUUGGUUACUAUUAAACUGAAUCUACUUUGAGUUUCUUAGCUUGGUUAAUGAUUUAUGUUUUGUCUGUAAACACUUUCAGACGGAUCAGGGACAGCUGAUUAGUUUCAAGAAACAGUAAGGAAGAUGCCAACCUACUCUUUCCAGCAUCAGUGUUUUCAGAGCACCUUAUGGUCCUUCCAGGCCCUCCUCUACACAUGCAGCCACCAGCCUCAGCUACCAAAAACAGCUUAGGAGUCACAAAUAUUGACUAUAUGGAAAUAUUCAUCAACCUAAACUCAUCAAUUGGACCAAAAGAAAGUGCAGAAAGAGCAGUUAUGGUACCGUAACCGGACGCUCCUGGUAUAACCCUCUUGGAGCAGCAGGGCAUGCUCUUCGAACGGUGUACAAUUUUGAAUUCUAUCCCAUCUCUAUAUUAGUAACGUUUUCCUAUAUUUUGCAGGGAAUUUACGUAUGUCUUAGAGUCUUUGGCAGUUCGUCACGGGAUGUUGGAAAGCUUAGAUGUGCAACCUAGGACCAUUUUUGCCACUAGCAUCAACCUCAAAUUCGUAUGAGGACUCAUUAUUAUUUUGAUAAAGACACAAACGGCAAGUCUUCAACUGUUUGCCUCCACUGUACGUUUAGGUGGCACCGACGGAAGUGACCGGCAAAGUGUUUCCAAGUACGGCGGUGUCCUCUAUAAUAAUUGAACAGCCUAACUUUUAUGUUUUAUGUUUUCUGAAUUCUACUCCCAGUUUUAUUAAUGCAUGGCUUUUUAUAUUAAGCCAUUCUAUUUAAAAAUCAUUUGUACUGUUUUUUUUUUAAUUUUAUCGAUUUAACACCAAAGUAAGCUACACA